CAUAUUGGAGGGGCAAGCGUCUUUUUUUCGCGAUUGGAGGGACAUCGGUGGAGGUGUGUUUACAUGGCAUCUUUUUCCUUUGUGUGAUGAUAAAGCAAAAAGAUAUGUGUAGCAGAGAGGGAGGGGUUAAGGAGGUACCGGUGACCCAACAGCGGCGGUGUAGACUAAGGCCUAUCGAGGCCACUGGCGACGAGCGGCCGGGUCGCGCGAGAGCCACGAGUGGAGGGUAGAAGGUGGCACAGGUACAGGAAGUACGGGGACCUGCUCGGGGGCGUCGUUGGGAUCCGUGGUGCCCAGCGGCAUCGCCUAGGUCGCGGAGGAGACAAAAAUCAGAGUGAUGGGGUACAUAGGAGUGCGCGACAAUGGUCGAGCCCGUGCUUCCACGACGAGGUGGAGCCGAUGGAGAUGAGACUAGGCUGUGGCUGCUAAGUAAUAAUACUCCUAUUUCCUCGGCCUUUGCUGUAGUCACUAUAAACGAAGUCCUUUCUACCGUACGUGUCUUCCUUUCUCACUUCUUGUGAGAGUUCGAAUGACAGUCCUUCAUACGUCUCAACGGGUUUUCGAACCGAAGUGUUGAUGUAAAAUCUAACGGUUCUAUUUAACAACUACGUACCCAGCCUACAACUAACGUUCGAGUGCCUACCCCUACGAUGAUCUAUCAAAGUGUAAUACAAAAUAUUACGGUAAAAGUACCAGUUACAAAGGUGAAAGUUUGUCAUACAAAGUCUUACCAACUCAACAAGCCACAUUAGAAACAUAACACAAGAAACAUUAUGUUGGUUCAAUUAAAUUAUAUACUCCGUAAAUAAUAAU
This 813-nucleotide ribosomal RNA is filed under the name Triticum aestivum (bread wheat). Its description in RNAcentral is "partial small subunit ribosomal RNA". Lineage: Eukaryota; Viridiplantae; Streptophyta; Magnoliopsida; Poales; Poaceae. The record is from RNAcentral.